Molecule: ribosomal RNA, 422 nt
Filed under: uncultured bacterium
Lineage: Bacteria
Description: bacterial SSU rRNA
Rfam family: Bacterial small subunit ribosomal RNA
Source: RNAcentral
UGGGGAAUAUUGGGCAAUGGGCGCAAGCCUGACCCAGCAACGCCGCGUGAAGGAAGAAGGCUUUCGGGUUGUAAACUUCUUUUCUUGGGGACGAAGAAAGUGACGGUACCCAAGGAAUAAGCCACGGCUAACUACGUGCCAGCAGCCGCGGUAAUACGUAGGUGGCAAGCGUUAUCCGGAUUUAUUGGGUGUAAAGGGCGUGUAGGCGGGAAUGCAAGUCAGAUGUGAAAACUAUGGGCUCAACCCCAUAGCCUGCAUUUUGAAAACCUGUAUUUCUUGAGUGCUGGAGAGGCAAUCGGAAUUCCGUGUGUAGCGGUGAAAUGCGUAGAUAUACGGAGGAACACCAGUGGCGAAGGCGGAUUGCUGGACAGUAACUGACGCUGAGGCGCGAAAGCGUGGGGAGCAAACAGGAUUAGAUACCC